UGGCGGUCAUAUCACAUAGAAACCCCGGUUCUCACAGGAUCACUGGAGGUAAGCACCGUCGAGCCUGGUCAGUAUCUAGAUUGGUAACCGCUUGGGGAUACCACGUGCUGUAAG
Acanthosepion pharaonis is the source of this 114-nucleotide non-coding RNA. Lineage: Eukaryota; Metazoa; Mollusca; Cephalopoda; Sepiida; Sepiidae. The record is from the annotation of a GenBank genome assembly.